UGGGGAAUAUUGCACAAUGGGCGCAAGCCUGAUGCAGCCAUGCCGCGUGUAUGAAGAAGGCCUUCGGGUUGUAAAGUACUUUCAGCGAGGAGGAAGGCGUUGUGGUUAAUAACCGCAACGAUUGACGUUACUCGCAGAAGAAGCACCGGCUAACUCCGUGCCAGCAGCCGCGGUAAUCCGGAGGGUGCAAGCGUUAAUCGGAAUUACUGGGCGUAAAGCGCACGCAGGCGGUCUGUCAAGUCGGAUGUGAAAUCCCCGGGCUCAACCUGGGAACUGCAUCCGAAACUGGCAGGCUAGAGUCUUGUAGAGGGGGGUAGAAUUCCAGGUGUAGCGGUGAAAUGCGUAGAGAUCUGGAGGAAUACCGGUGGCGAAGGCGGCCCCCUGGACAAAGACUGACGCUCAGGUGCGAAAGCGUGGGGAGCAAACA
Molecule: ribosomal RNA, 427 nt
Filed under: uncultured bacterium
Lineage: Bacteria
Description: partial 16S ribosomal RNA
Rfam family: Bacterial small subunit ribosomal RNA
Source: RNAcentral